UCCGUUCACAUUUCAAAGCGCUCUCUCCGCAUUCAUCGCCCAUUAUUUAUUUAUUUAAUUAAUUAUUAAUAGCCUCUCUACCUUAACAGAAAAACCAAAAUAAGACGCACCAGAAAUCAACUAACACUUCACCUCAUAACCCAAAGAAGCACACAGCAUCACACGCUCGACUGAAAACGCAAACCCACAGACUGAACAAAGCGGAGGACAAAAUGUCGUGGCAAACUUACGUAGACGAACACUUGAUGUGCGACAUCGACGGCCAAGGCCAGCAUCUCACCGCUGCUGCUAUUGUUGGCCAUGACGGUAGCGUCUGGGCUCAGAGCUCCUCUUUCCCUCAGUUCAAGCCCCAGGAGAUUACUGACAUCAUGAAAGACUUUGAGGAGCCGGGUCACCUUGCCCCUACAGGUCUACACCUUGGGGGCACAAAGUACAUGGUUAUCCAGGGAGAGGCUGGAGCUGUUAUCCGUGGAAAGAAGGUGAUGGGCAUCAUAUGUGCUCAAUCUUAUCAUUAGUGGACUUGAUUCAUUAAAGUUCAUAAAAUGCUUUUGUCUAACUUUUGGUUAUUUCCUGGGUUUAUCAGGAAUCAAUUUUCUCCAAAGCCUUUUAAUUCUUGCCUUACUUCGUUUUAUCAUAUGGAGGCAUCAUUUUGAUUCCCACUUUUUUACUCGAAUAAGAAAUAAGGGCAUGCUCUAUGUUGUGCAAGUGAUUGUGUCUGUUCCAGGUAAUUAAUCGGAAGCUUGCCUGUUAUCUUUUGGCAGGGAUCAGGAGGGAUCACCAUAAAGAAGACUGGUCAAGCUCUUGUUUUUGGCAUCUAUGAGGAACCUGUGACUCCAGGGCAGUGCAACAUGGUUGUGGAGAGGUUGGGGGACUACCUCGUUGAUCAGGGGCUGUAGGCCUAGUCUAUCACAAUUUAUUACAUUUAUUUUGUGGGGUUACAAGCACUGUUUUUGUUUCUUUUUCUUUUGUUUUUUGAUCUCUGGUUCCAAGUUUGCAUCCUCUUCUAUGGAAAGCCUUGAAUCGGCAGUGAAGAUGUUGCAGACAAUAACCAUGCGAGAACUAAAUUGGUUGUUUGAUGUUGCCUGUUUUGAGUUGCAUUACUUUGAUAAAAAUUGAUUUAAUGUGUAAUCUGCAAUUAAAUCAAUUUUUAUCCACAUCACAUCUUUCUCCUGUAACAAGUACUGUUAAUCUUUUUGAACAUUUCUUAAUCAUUUGGUGGUGGAAUAAUUGUCAAGUUACAGGAAAGAAAAGUUUCACUAAAACAUCUCAAAUAGAGUACCUAACCUACCAUUUGUAUUGCUGCUUUAUUGGUAGGGAAUUGAAUAGCGAGUGGUCGAUUGUGCUUUUGAGUGGAUUAAGAUGUGUAAAUUAAACAUGCUUUGCCAUCACUUGCAUUUUGAUAUAGA
RNAcentral lists this unclassified non-coding RNA (1406 nucleotides) under Hevea brasiliensis (rubber tree). The record is from RNAcentral. Lineage: Eukaryota; Viridiplantae; Streptophyta; Magnoliopsida; Malpighiales; Euphorbiaceae.